Molecule: long non-coding RNA, 2870 nt
Organism: Piliocolobus tephrosceles (Ugandan red Colobus)
Lineage: Eukaryota; Metazoa; Chordata; Mammalia; Primates; Cercopithecidae
Exons: 3
Source: RefSeq, a predicted model, not a curated record
UCCCCUCCCUGCAGGCCCGUUCUGUGUACAACAGGAGAUUAUAUGCACAGAAACAAGAGGCACACGGCCGAUGUUGGAAGGGGUGCUGUGUUACUGAGGUGCAGUACACAAAAGCAGGGGGCACUCAGCAGAUGUUGGAAAGGGUGCUGUGUUACUUAGGUGCAGCACAGUACCGUGGGAAGGGCAGACACCAGGGUGAAUCCUGGCUGUGUGAUUUGGGCAGCUUAUGUCAUCACCCUGAGCCUCAGGUUUUUCAUCUGUAAAUGAGGAUGGGAAUACCUCCCUCACAGAGUAUAUGUGACAUGAUUAGAAAAUGCCUAGCCAAAAAAUAAUAAAAAAUUUAAAAAAUAGAAAAUACCUAGCCAGUAAUAAGCACUCAAAAAAUAUAUACAUACACACAUUCUCACCUGCCUUUAAGUCUUACUUUCCUUGUUUGUAGGAUAAGGGACUUGGACAGGAUGGUUCUGUUCUCUCCAGCUCUGAAAUACUGGCUUCCUGGCAUCAUCUAAUUUCAGGCAGAAAAGCCAGUUUUCUCAGUGUGUCGAAGAUCAUCAUUUCAAAGGCCAUUUUGUCUAAGUUUAACUGGGUGUGUUUUUCUGGUUAACUCAAGUGACAUCUGUUCCCGAGCUGUUCCUGACAUCAGUGAAGCUCAGCCACGAUGACACAGGAGCCAGGUAUUUACACCUGGCCAGAGUAGACACGAAUAAUCUGUUCAGGUACAUGGUGCAUUGUAAGAACAUGGUCUUGAAUGUUUUAUUUAAAUCAGGGGUGUCCAAUCUUUUGACUUCCCUGUGCCACAAUGGAAGAACAACUGUCUUAGGCCACACAUAAAAUACACCAAUACUAAGGACAGUUGAUGAGUUAAAAUUAUAAAUAAAGGACCUCAAUGUUUUAAGAAAGUGUAGGGAUUGCAUUGGGCUGCAUUCCAGGUCGUCCUGAGCAUGCGGACUGCAGGCUGUGGGGUUAGACAAGCUUGAUGUAAAGCACUGACUGUACAUUAUGUGGUUUAAAAUACCAUCUCACUAGUAUUUUUAUUGACGGAGCAUCUUGAAAAAUAAGGAAAAGCUUACACGGACUUACAAUCUCAUCAAAAUACAAUUUUAUAGUCUGAAUCAAUGAUUUACAUUAGAGUUGGGAAACCCUGUGUCAGAGGAUUUUUGUGUCAGAAUGAUGAUUUCUAGUAGCCUGAGGUGAUGAUGCAUCUGGGAACUGUGUCCACAGCACUAACACGAACGUUUUGCAUUCUAGUUAUUCUCCUUCCCCAGCGUUCCGUUCCAUUCCCCUUCCCUGGCCUUCCGUUCCUUGUUCCUCCCCUUCCCUAGCAUGCCGUUCCUUCUUCCCUAGCGUGCAGUUCCGCACCACUCCCAUGGACAGUACCAGUGUUCCUCACAUUCUUGAGCAUACCGUCCUUUGUGGGUCUCGGAAAUAUCCGUGCAGAGACACUUUCUUCAAAAUGUUGAACCGGUCCCUCUCCACGUUCAUGAACGCCUUCACAGGUAAGACCAGCAUCCUGAAUGGAAACCGCGUUUGGGUUUGCCAGGCACCCACUGGAAUUCAGUUAGUUUCUGAGAAGGGAUGAGAGGAGUGGGCAAUUAAUGUUCUAGAAUAAUUUUUACCCCUCUCUAGUUGAAGGACGUUAGAAAUUUCAUCCUUUAGGAAAGCCGCAUGGUAGCGAGAUUAUAAAAACUAGUGUUUUAAUAAAAGGCAAGUGAACUUUUCCCAGAAAGGUUGAAAACAAUUUUCUCUUGGGGAUAUCGCUACAAUGCCAUGCCUCCAGAGUUACCACUAACGUUGAUGUUUGACUUUUAGUAAGGCUGACGCUAGUGGAGAGGGUGACAAUGAACAGUGCACUCUGUGAAGGAGUGACAUCGAAGAGCAGGUUAAAUCCACGCUCUUACAGAAUGAGGUUGUCUUUGUAGACGUGUGAAAGUCUCUGGAGACACUUGAGAGAGUUCAGAUGUUCGCUGAAGAAAGUCCUGGUGCCCGUCGAGUGCAGAUCCUGAGACCAGAUGGGAAAGCCGGCACUCGGGGUGAUGAGUUGGGACAGCUGCUGUGGUCAGGGGCCAGAGCAUGGAGCCACUGCCCCAUCUCAAGAAUAACUGCAACUUACUGUCCUAGGACAAAGGGGAAAUGAGGCUUGAGAUUCAAUAAUUUUAGUAGAAAUCUGUUAUAUUUUACAAUUUCACUUUUCAUUUGUACCCAGCUAGUGAUUAUACUCUGUAUCCAUUUUCCACACAAAAUCCCAAGGACUUUCAGAAUCUCCUCUCCGUGUAUUUGGACGCCACCUUUUUCCCAUGUUUACACGAGCUGGAUUUCUGGUAUGUCAUGAGUGAUUAACUAGUUGAUGCAGACUUUAGUAUUUGAGUCACUGUCAGCUUAUAAUUAUUUGUCCUCAGGCAGGAAGGAUGGCGGCUGGAACACGAGAAUCCUAGCGACCCCCAGACGCCCUUGUCUUUAAAGGAGUCAUCUUUAAUGAGAUGAAAGGAGGGGUUGUGCCCCAAGCGCCAUCUCUACCGGGCGCUAUGUGGAUGCAUCGGUGACAAAAUGGAAAGCCUCUGGUCCUGGCGGAGCUUGUUCUGAUCAGGAGAGACCCGAAAGCAAGAAACACAGUGAACAAAUGCAUGAUGCCCAGAGGUGGAUGGCCGCAGGACACGCCACCCGUCGCCGUGACCACACUGUCCCUCAGAGGAGCCGCUGGCCAUGAGUGUCCCAUCCACAUGGAGAUGUACUUGAAGAUUCUUUACACACUGGGUUUCAAAGACUUAGUAUGGAAAACAGUGUAAAUAUUAAUAACACAAUAACUGUUAUCAAAAUAGUGGGCUGAAUAGAAAAUACAGGUUUUUUUUUUAAUUUUUUUUUUUUUUUUUUAG